GACGAACGCUGGCGGCGUGCUUAACACAUGCAAGUCGAGCGAUGAAGUUCCUUCGGGAACGGAUUAGCGGCGGACGGGUGAGUAACACGUGGGUAACCUGCCUCAUAGAGGGGAAUAGCCUUCCGAAAGGAAGAUUAAUACCGCAUAAGAUUGUAGUACCGCAUGGUAUAGCAAUUAAAGGAGUAAUCCGCUAUGAGAUGGACCCGCGUCGCAUUAGCUAGUUGGUGAGGUAACGGCUCACCAAGGCGACGAUGCGUAGCCGACCUGAGAGGGUGAUCGGCCACAUUGGGACUGAGACACGGCCCAGACUCCUACGGGAGGCAGCAGUGGGGAAUAUUGCACAAUGGGGGAAACCCUGAUGCAGCAACGCCGCGUGAGUGAUGACGGUCUUCGGAUUGUAAAGCUCUGUCUUCAGGGACGAUAAUGACGGUACCUGAGGGGGAAGCCACGGCUAACUACGUGCCAGCCGCCGCAGUAA
RNAcentral lists this ribosomal RNA (478 nucleotides) under uncultured bacterium. Its description in RNAcentral is "partial 16S ribosomal RNA". It matches the Rfam family "Bacterial small subunit ribosomal RNA", at positions 28 to 523 of the family's 1533-position model. The record is from RNAcentral.